GACGAACGCUGGCGGCGUGCUUAACACAUGCAAGUCGAACGGAAAGGCCCUGCUUUUGUGGGGUGCUCGAGUGGCGAACGGGUGAGUAACACGUGAGUAACCUGCCCUUGACUUUGGGAUAACUUCAGGAAACUGGGGCUAAUACCGGAUAGGAGCUCCUGCUGCAUGGUGGGGGUUGGAAAGUUUCGGCGGUUGGGGAUGGACUCGCGGCUUAUCAGCUUGUUGGUGGGGUAGUGGCUUACCAAGGCUUUGACGGGUAGCCGGCCUGAGAGGGUGACCGGCCACAUUGGGACUGAGAUACGGCCCAGACUCCUACGGGAGGCAGCAGUGGGGAAUAUUGCACAAUGGGCGGAAGCCUGAUGCAGCAACGCCGCGUGCGGGAUGACGGCCUUCGGGUUGGAAACCGCUUUCGCCUGUGACGAAGCGUGAGUGACGGUAAUGGGUAAAGAAACACCGGCUAACUACGU
This 467-nucleotide ribosomal RNA is filed under the name uncultured bacterium. RNAcentral describes it as "partial 16S ribosomal RNA". It matches the Rfam family "Bacterial small subunit ribosomal RNA", at positions 28 to 506 of the family's 1533-position model. The record is from RNAcentral.